Molecule: small RNA, 162 nt
Filed under: Arabidopsis thaliana (thale cress)
Lineage: Eukaryota; Viridiplantae; Streptophyta; Magnoliopsida; Brassicales; Brassicaceae
Description: ATSL248690
Source: RNAcentral
GGGAAAUCAUUUUCCGCCGCUUGCAAGAAGAAUCAAAGGUAGCUCUCGCUCUCUCCUCUGCGAAUUAUUUUGUACUCUCGAUUCUUUAUCGAUUUUUCCGGCAAUGGGUAAGGUUGUUCUUGUCUCUCCGUCCUCUUCUUCCUCCGAGAGCGAAGCGUCAUU